Molecule: transfer RNA, 75 nt
Filed under: Marmota monax (woodchuck)
Lineage: Eukaryota; Metazoa; Chordata; Mammalia; Rodentia; Sciuridae
Description: tRNA.Thr
Source: RNAcentral
CUGGGGGUGGAGCUCAGUGGUAAGAGUAUGUCCUUAGUAUGUGCAGGGCCUUGAGUUCAAUCCCCAACAUCAAGA